This 1155-nucleotide ribosomal RNA is filed under the name Eutypa petrakii var. hederae. Its description in RNAcentral is "partial large subunit ribosomal RNA". It matches the Rfam family "Eukaryotic large subunit ribosomal RNA", at positions 68 to 1247 of the family's 3401-position model. Lineage: Eukaryota; Fungi; Ascomycota; Sordariomycetes; Xylariales; Diatrypaceae. The record is from RNAcentral.
ACAGGGAUUGCCCUAGUAACGGCGAGUGAAGCGGCAACAGCUCAAAUUUGAAAUCUGGCCUUCGGGUCCGAGUUGUAAUUUGUAGAGGAUGCUUUUGGUGCAGUGCCUUCCGAGUUCCUUGGAACAGGACGCCUUAGAGGGUGAGAGCCCCGUACGGUUGGACACUAAGCCUCUGUAAAGCUCCUUCGACGAGUCGAGUAGUUUGGGAAUGCUGCUCUAAAUGGGAGGUAAAUUUCUUCUAAAGCUAAAUACCGGCCAGAGACCGAUAGCGCACAAGUAGAGUGAUCGAAAGAUGAAAAGUACUUUGAAAAGAGGGUUAAAUAGCACGUGAAAUUGUUGAAAGGGAAGCGUUUAUGACCAGACCUUUGCCGGGCGGAUCAUCCGGUGUUCUUCACCGGUGCACUUCGCCCGGCUUAGGCCAGCAUCGAUUUCUGGAGGGGGACAAAGACCAUGGGAACGUAGCUCCUCUCGGGGAGUGUUAUAGCCCUAGGUGUAAUACCCUUCCGGGGAUCGAGGUUCGCGCUUCUGCAAGGAUGCUGGCGUAAUGGUCAUCAACGACCCGUCUUGAAACACGGACCAAGGAGUCGAACAUUUAUGCGAGUGUUUGGGUGUUAAACCCUCACGCGUAAUGAAAGUGAACGGAGGUGAGAGCCCUCUUUUGGGUGCAUCAUCGACCGAUCCUGAUGUAUUCGGAAGGAUUUGAGUAAGAGCAUAACUGUUCGGACCCGAAAGAUGGUGAACUAUGCGUGGAUAGGGUGAAGCCAGAGGAAACUCUGGUGGAGGCUCGCAGCGGUUCUGACGUGCAAAUCGAUCGUCAAAUCUGCGCAUGGGGGCGAAAGACUUAUCGAACCAUCUAGUAGCUGGUUACCGCCGAAGUUUCCCUCAGGAUAGCAGUGUUGUAUUCAGUUUUAUGAGGUAAAGCGAAUGAUUAGGGACUCGGGGGCGCUAUAUUGCCUUCAUCCAUUCUCAAACUUUAAAUAUGUAAGAAGCCCUUGUUACUUAAUUGAACGUGGGCAUUCGAAUGUAUCAACACUAGUGGGCCAUUUUUGGUAAGCAGAACUGGCGAUGCGGGAUGAACCGAACGCGAGGUUAAGGUGCCAGAGUAGACGCUCAUCAGACACCACAAAAGGUGUUAGUACAUCUGACAGCAGGACG